Molecule: non-coding RNA, 72 nt
Organism: Phrynosoma platyrhinos (Desert horned lizard)
Lineage: Eukaryota; Metazoa; Chordata; Lepidosauria; Squamata; Phrynosomatidae
Source: the annotation of a GenBank genome assembly
GCCAGCGUGGCAUAAUGGUUUGAGUACAGGACUAGGACUCUGGAGACCAGGGUUCAAAUCCCAGCUCUGCCA